This is a long non-coding RNA of Rhipicephalus sanguineus (brown dog tick), 184 nucleotides long. RefSeq lists it as uncharacterized. The record is from RefSeq and is a predicted model, not a curated record. NCBI's taxonomy places the organism in Eukaryota, Metazoa, Arthropoda, Arachnida, Ixodida, Ixodidae. The transcript has 3 exons.
GUUGAUGUUCCUAAACUCCACGCAUGCCAAGGUGUUCUUCUCAGACUCUCAAGCAAACACGGCCGAAAUCGUUCUCGCCCUCGCAAAGAAAGAGUCCCAAAAGGGUAUGGCGCUUGCGUCGCCCGAAUGCCUUCAGCGCAAGAAUCACCUCAUGCAAUUCUACCUCGCAUUUCCAAAGGUCAGC